This 1495-nucleotide ribosomal RNA is filed under the name metagenome. RNAcentral's name for it is "bacterial SSU rRNA". It matches the Rfam family "Eukaryotic small subunit ribosomal RNA", at positions 3 to 1385 of the family's 1831-position model. The record is from RNAcentral.
CCUGGUUGAUCCUGCCAGCAAUCAUAUGCUUGUCUAAAAGAUUAAGCCAUGCAUGUCUAAGUAUAAGUUGUUAUACGGCGAAACUGCGAAUGGCUCAUUAUAUCAGCUACAAUCUACUCGAUCGAUAAAGUUAAUCGGAUAACUGUAGGAAUUCUAGAGCUAAUACGUGCGAAAGGGCCGGACGGCGGGCAACCGUCGGAAGGCCGCAUUUACUAGCGCAGAAACCGGGUCGGGGUAAUUCAAACUUCGCGGCAACGCGAGGGCUCCGAAAAACAACGGAUGAAUCACAGUAAGUUUCGAUGCGAAUCGGGGGCUAAAGUUCCCGAUGAUGCGAACGAGUAUCUGCCCUAUCAACUUUCAAUCGUAGUGUAGGGGACUACGAUGGUCGUAACGGGUACGGGAAAUUAGGGUUCGAUUCCGGAGAGUUAGCCUUAAAAAUAGCUAACAUUACCAAGGUAAGCAGCAGGCGCGUAAAUUAUCCAAUCCCAAUUCGGGGAGAUAGUGACGAGAAAUAUCGAUGUGGGGCCUUACGGGUUUCACGAUCGAAAUGAGUACAAUUUAAAACCUUAACGAAUGCAAUUGGAGGGCAAGUCUGGUGCCAGCAGCCGCGGUAAUUCCAGCUCCAAGAGCGUAUAUUAAAGUUGUUGCGGUUAAAAAGCUCGUAGUUGGACCUUGGGGCGACGCGCGAUUUAAACUUCGCGGGGUCGCGGCUUUCGGGUCGCGGUUUCGCGGGGGCGCGCGUUCGUCUCGUUUUUUGCGUCGCUAAACGGCGUCGGAGGGCGUCUCUCGUCGGAGGCGAAAUCGUUUUUCGACGGGUUGCGCCCUUUUUCGUCGGAUUGCAAGAUUUUACUUUGAAUAAAUUAGAGCGUUCAAAGCAGGCGAAAUCGUCUUGAAUACGUUAGCAUGGGAUAAUAGAAUAGGACCGUAAGAAUUUUUUUCGGUUUAACGUUUACUGGUUUCUAAAGCCGAGGUAAUGAUUAAUAGGGACAGUUGGGGUCGCUCGUACUCGGCGGUCAGAGGUGAAAUUCUAAGACCCGCCGAAGACGAACAAGUGCGAAGGCAUUCGACAAGGAUGUUUUCUUUAAUCAAGAACGAAAGUUAUGGGAUCGAAGAUGAUCAGAUACCGUCGUAGUCAUAACCGUAAACUAUGUUGACUCGGGAUCCGAAGAAGUUACAUGGAUGACUCUUCGGGCACCGUGUGCGAAAGCACAAGUAUUCGAACUCCGGGGGGAGUAUGGUCGCAAGGCUGAAACUUAAAGGAAUUGACGGAAGGGCACCACCAGGUGUGGAAUCUGCGGCUUAAUUUGACUCAACACGGGGAAACUUACCCAGUCCGGACGCUACGAGGAUUGACAGAUUGAUAGUUCUUUCUUGAUUUUGUGGAAGCCGGUGCAUGGCCGUUUUUAGUUGGUGGAGUGAUUUGUCUGGUUAAGUCCGAUAACGAACGAGACCUAAUUUUGUUAAAUAGUACUGCCAACAAGGGGGUCGCCGGUCG